AUUGAACGCUGGCGGCAUGCCUUACACAUGCAAGUCGAACGGCAGCACGGGUGCUUGCACCUGGUGGCGAGUGGCGAACGGGUGAGUAAUACAUCGGAACGUACCUUAUCGUGGGGGAUAACGCAGCGAAAGCUGUGCUAAUACCGCAUACGCCCUGAGGGGGAAAGCGGGGGAUCGCAAGACCUCGCGCGAUUAGAGCGGCCGAUGCCUGAUUAGCUAGUUGGUGGGGUAAAAGCCCACCAAGGCGACGAUCAGUAGCUGGUCUGAGAGGACGAUCAGCCACACUGGGACUGAGACACGGCCCAGACUCCUACGGGAGGCAGCAGUGGGGAAUUUUGGACGAUGGGGGCAACCCUGAGCCAGCAAUGCCGCGUGAGUGAAGAAGGCCUUCGGGUUGUAAAGCUCUUUUGUCAGGGAAGAAACACCGGCUCUAACACAGUCCGGGAAUGACGGUACCUGAAGAAUAAGCACCGGCUAACUACGUGCCAGCAGCCGCAGUAA
Molecule: ribosomal RNA, 501 nt
Filed under: uncultured bacterium
Lineage: Bacteria
Description: partial 16S ribosomal RNA
Rfam family: Bacterial small subunit ribosomal RNA
Source: RNAcentral